UACAGAGGUGCCAAGCGUUAGGCGGAAUCACUGGGCUUAAAGCGUGUGUAGGCGGACGAACAAGUAUCUUGUGAAAUCCCACGGCUCAGCCGUGGAACUGCUGGAUAUACUGCUCGUCUUGAGCAACCUAGGGGCUACCGGAACAAAUGGUGGAGCGGUGAAAUGCGUAGAUAUCAUUUGGAACGCCAAUGGUGAAAACAGGUAGCUGGGGGUUUGCUGACGCUGAGACACGAAAGCCAGGGGAGCAAACGGG
This 253-nucleotide ribosomal RNA is filed under the name uncultured bacterium. RNAcentral describes it as "partial 16S ribosomal RNA". It matches the Rfam family "Bacterial small subunit ribosomal RNA", at positions 524 to 776 of the family's 1533-position model. The record is from RNAcentral.